RNAcentral lists this ribosomal RNA (372 nucleotides) under uncultured organism. Its description in RNAcentral is "bacterial SSU rRNA". It matches the Rfam family "Bacterial small subunit ribosomal RNA", at positions 526 to 896 of the family's 1533-position model. The record is from RNAcentral.
CAGAGGUGGCAAGCGUUGUUCGGAUUUAUUGGGCGUAAAGGGUCCGUAGGCGGUUCGGAAAGUCAGAUGUGAAAUCCCACAGCUCAACUGUGGAACUGCAUUUGAAACUUCCAGACUAGAGUAUGAGAGGGGUAAAGGGAAUUCCCGGUGUAAGGGUGAAAUCUGCAGAGAUCGGGAGGAACACCAGUCGCGAAGGCGCUUUACUGGCUCAUUACUGACGCUCAGGGACGAAAGCUAGGGUAGCAAACGGGAUUAGAUACCCCGGUAGUCCUAGCCGUAAACUAUGGUCACUAGGUGUUGGAGGGGUUAAACCUUUCAGUGCCGACGCUCACGCAUUAAGUGACCCGCCUGGGGAGUACGGUCGCAAGGCUG